UGAUUUUGUCAGUCUGAGAUCAGUCAUUCUGGAACAAAUAACUAGAGAAAGAUCAGAAGUAGGCAGAAAGACAGACAGAGAGAGAGAGGGGAAGCAGCCUCUCCACCGAGCAGAGAGCCCGACGUGGGACUUGAUCCCAGGACCCUGAGAUCAUGACCUGAGCCGAAGGCAGAGGCUCAAC
RNAcentral lists this long non-coding RNA (181 nucleotides) under Mustela putorius furo (domestic ferret). Its description in RNAcentral is "lncRNA (ENSMPUG00000026217.1)". The record is from RNAcentral. Lineage: Eukaryota; Metazoa; Chordata; Mammalia; Carnivora; Mustelidae.